GUGCUUCAUUCAGCAGCACAAAGACUAAAACUGGAAUGGAAUAGAUUAGCAUAAUCCCUGAAAAAGGAUGGCCAAAAAUUUGUGAAGAGCUUCAUAUUUUA
Mesocricetus auratus (golden hamster) is the source of this 101-nucleotide small nuclear RNA. The record is from Ensembl. NCBI's taxonomy places the organism in Eukaryota, Metazoa, Chordata, Mammalia, Rodentia, Cricetidae.